UACAGAGGGUGCAAGCGUUGCUCGGAUUUACUGGGCGUAAAGCGUACGCAGACGGUGAGAAAGGUCGGAUGUGAAAGCCCCGGGCUCAACCCGGGAACUGCAUCCGAAACCAUCUCGCUCGAGUGUGGGAGAGGGAAGCGGAAUUCCUGGUGUAGAGGUGAAAUUCGUAGAUAUCAGGAGGAACACCGGCGGCGAAGGCGGCUUCCUGGCCCAUUACUGACGCUGAGACGCGAAAGCGUGGGGAGCAAACAGG
This 253-nucleotide ribosomal RNA is filed under the name uncultured bacterium. Its description in RNAcentral is "partial 16S ribosomal RNA". It matches the Rfam family "Bacterial small subunit ribosomal RNA", at positions 524 to 776 of the family's 1533-position model. The record is from RNAcentral.